GAUGAACGCUGGCGGCGUGCCUAAUACAUGCAAGUCGAGCGAACAGACGAGGAGCUUGCUCCUCUGACGUUAGCGGCGGACGGGUGAGUAACACGUGGAUAACCUACCUAUAAGACUGGGAUAACUUCGGGAAACCGGAGCUAAUACCGGAUAAUAUAUUGAACCGCAUGGUUCAGUAGUGAAAGACGGUUUUGCUGUCACUUAUAGAUGGAUCCGCGCCGCAUUAGCUAGUUGGUAAGGUAACGGCUUACCAAGGCAACGAUGCGUAGCCGACCUGAGAGGGUGAUCGGCCACACUGGAACUGAGACACGGUCCAGACUCCUACGGGAGGCAGCAGUAGGGAAUCUUCCGCAAUGGGCGAAAGCCUGACGGAGCAACGCCGCGUGAGUGAUGAAGGUCUUCGGAUCGUAGAACUCUGUUAUUAGGGAAGAACAAAUGUGUAAGUAACUAUGCACGUCUUGACGGUACCUAAUCAGAAAGCCACGGCUAACUACGUG
This 497-nucleotide ribosomal RNA is filed under the name uncultured bacterium. RNAcentral's name for it is "partial 16S ribosomal RNA". It matches the Rfam family "Bacterial small subunit ribosomal RNA", at positions 28 to 507 of the family's 1533-position model. The record is from RNAcentral.